This 453-nucleotide ribosomal RNA is filed under the name uncultured soil bacterium. RNAcentral describes it as "bacterial SSU rRNA". It matches the Rfam family "Bacterial small subunit ribosomal RNA", at positions 26 to 518 of the family's 1533-position model. The record is from RNAcentral.
AGAACGAACGCUGGCGGCAGGCCUAACACAUGCAAGUCGUGCGCUGUAGCAAUACAGAGCGGCGCACGGGUGAGUAACACGUGGGAACGUGCCCUAUGGUUCGGAAUAACUCAGGGAAACUUGAGCUAAUACCGGAUAAGCCCUUCGGGGGAAAGAUUUAUCGCCAUUGGAGCGGCCCGCGUUGGAUUAGCUUGUUGGUGGGGUAAAAGCCCACCAAGGCGACGAUCCAUAGCUGGUUUGAGAGAACGACCAGCCACACUGGGACUGAGACACGGCCCAGACUCCUACGGGAGGCAGCAGUGGGGAAUCUUGGACAAUGGGGGAAACCCUGAUCCAGCCAUGCCGCGUGAGUGAUGAAGGCCCUAGGGGUUGUAAAAACUCGUUUACGGCGGGUACGAGUAAUUGACGGUACCCGCGAGAAGAAGCUCCGGCUAACUUCGUGCCAGCAGCCGC